UCUUCCGUAGUAUAGUGGUCAGUAUGUGAGCUUGUCAACAUUCUUUGGGUAUUGCCUCCGCUCGAGACCCGGGUUCAAUUCCCGGCGGGAGAG
Molecule: non-coding RNA, 93 nt
Organism: Podospora aff. communis PSN243
Lineage: Eukaryota; Fungi; Ascomycota; Sordariomycetes; Sordariales; Podosporaceae
Source: the annotation of a GenBank genome assembly